CUCGUAGGUGGUUUGUCACGUUGUUCGUGAAAACUCACAGCUUAACUGUGGGCGUGCGGGCGAUACGGGCAGACUGGAGUACUGCAGGGGAGACUGGAAUUCCUGGUGUAGCGGUGGAAUGCGCAGAUAUCAGGAGGAACACCGGUGGCGAAGGCGGGUCUCUGGGCAGUAACUGACGCUGAGGAGCGAAAGCGUGGGAGCGAACA
Molecule: ribosomal RNA, 206 nt
Filed under: uncultured bacterium
Lineage: Bacteria
Description: partial 16S ribosomal RNA
Rfam family: Bacterial small subunit ribosomal RNA
Source: RNAcentral